UCCCAUAUCAGAUAUAAAGGUCUGAAAGUCUCAAAAACCUAAGACCAAAAAUGCAUGUUUCUCAUUUCCCUCACCAAACUAACGCCGCCCCUGAGCAAUUCAGCCAUGGUCGUCGGCGGAUUGACCUCCAAAUACCCUAAAAUUAACACCCCUUGACCACCACAAUACCCUCAUACUGAAUCCAUAAGCCAUUUUCCUCAAAUACUCCUCAGCCUUCUCGAAUCUUACAUCCAAAAUCCGAGUUUCUGAGAGCCAAAGCCAAACCUGAGCAUGCAAGGUGAUUGCUCCAACCUUCAGAAGUUUUAGAGUCGAUUUUGUCACGAAAUAGUGUUGUCCGCUUGUUCUUGACAAAGAACAAGCGGUUAACAUUAUUUGGCGAUGAAUUCGGAAAGUUAGGCAUCGAAGUCAAGUUUCAUGAGGUGAGUUCUUCCACUGUUCGAUUAUUUUUGGGUAUUUUGGCUUCCGUUCUUCCUCUUUUCUUCUUUUUCUCUGAACAAUUCAAUCGACACUCAAAUCAGGUUUUAUCCAAAUUAAUUAACUGUCUGUUUGUUCUUCUAUAGUCUGUUCCUCAAUCCUGUUUUGGUCAUAGUUUGAUUACUGUCAAUUUUAUCACUAGCUAAUAAAAUUAGGGCCUGGACUCAGUUAAAUUACUGUCACGUGCUAGAUUGGUUAAAUUCGAUUUUUUUUUUCUUGUGGCUGUUUGUUUAAAAGAAAUAGCUUCAGAUUUUUUUUGUUUGGGAAAAUUUUGGGGCCAACUCUAACAUGGGUUCCCUAAGUGUUUUAAUUGGGCUUCUACAAAUUUAAAAGCCCAAAAAAGGGUAUGGGUAGGGAUUUAAUUUGGUUCUACAGACCCAUUAGUUUGGUCAGUUGACCUAGGUUGGGUUAAGAGUAAAACCAGAGAAUUAAGAUGGUAAUUUUGGGGUAAUUGGGGAGAAGAAUCUUUUGGUAACUAACUAGAAAGCUUCCUUGAAGCUGGGGUGGAGGGUUGUGUUGAUAAUUUGAUAAUUACCUUAGGGGUAGUUAAGCAAAAAGGAAAUUUAGCUAAGGAUCUCUGAGUUAAAAACCAAAGUUGGAAAGGGAAUAAGGGGUAAAAACUAAUUCCUAAAAAAUGCCCUACUUCCUUGCCUAUAAAGACAUAAUUUCUUUCAUUUCAAGGCAGAUAUAGAAGAGAAAAUCUGUAGACUGGGAUAUCUACAUUUGACUACAUUGUUAAAACUCUCUGGAAAUACUUCAUAACUACAUUGCUAAUUAAUAUUAAAAGAUAAAUUUUUUAANNNNNNNNNNNNNNNNNNNNNNNNNNNNNNNNNNNNNNNNNNNNNNNNNNNNNNNNNNNNNNNNNNNNNNGGGGGGGGAAACGGCUGAGCUCUUAUAUUGUUUGAUUGCAUUUCUUCAGUAGACCUUGAUUUGUUUAGUUUCUGAGAUAAUUUUGAUUUAGUUGAUAUGGAAAUGGUUUAAGUAUAGAUUUCAAAAGCUUGGUCUAAAGUUGUUGUAGUCAUAGCUCGAUUGGGACUGCUUUUUGUUACUGCUUCAUCUCAAAUUUCUGGUCUGAGCUAAUUUGCUGAAGCAGUUGUUCUAUUGCUGUUACUAUUUCUUCAUCUUUUUUUCCUUUAAUCUCCAGGUACUAUAUCUUGAGAUCUAUUAAACAUGUGAAGUCAGAUUUGUGCAUGAAAUCAAAGAGUGGGAUUCAGAUCAUGGCUUUAAUUGGUGCUGCAUUUCGUUUAUAUGACACUAUGUUGUAGUUCAUUUCAUUUCAUAGUUAGUUUCUAUGUGAUUUAACGACUGUUUAUCACUGCUGUAGUGAAAGUUUAUUUGAGCUAUGAAAGACAUACUUAUGUUUAAAUUUUGCUGGAAGCAAUGGGUAUUUGCUUUAAGAAUGUUCAAGUCAAAUGUGGAUCAGCUGAAUCCAUAUGAUUCUAUUAAGCUAUGAACUAUACAAGGCAUUAGUUUUUUUUUUUUUGAUAACUCUGAUUCGAGUUAUGAUGAAGAUUAACUCUGUUUCUUUUUAUGAUUUUCACUUAAGGCUGUCAAAUGCUAAGAAUGCUAGUAAGUUCAUACUGAUAUGUUUAUGAGAUGCCUGUAAAUGUAUUUAGUGUGAGGUAAAUUCUGAUUCUUAAUAUUUAUUAGAUUAGUUAUAAAAUUGUUAUUUUGGGUCACAUAGCUCGAGCAAAUAUCAUGUAUGUAUGAAACUGUCUUUUUGAAAUCAGUUUUUAAAGACAGAGGCGAGCAUGAAUACAUGAUGAAUGUUUAGUUCUGAGUUUUUCCCAAAUUGUUUAGCUGUUCAUUCCUUCUUGAAACAAUUAACUUUGGAGG
Molecule: long non-coding RNA, 2310 nt
Filed under: Nicotiana benthamiana
Lineage: Eukaryota; Viridiplantae; Streptophyta; Magnoliopsida; Solanales; Solanaceae
Description: long non-coding RNA (NBEN_LNC013502)
Source: RNAcentral